ACUAAAUAGAUACCCAGGUAGUCCACGCCGUAAACGAUGGAUACUAGCUGUUCGGAGCAAUCUGAGUGGCUAAAGCGAAAAAGUGAUAAGUAUCCCACCUGGGGAGUACGCACGCAAGUGUGAAACUCAAAGGAAUUGACGGGGGCCCGCACAAGCGGUGGAGCAUGUGGUUUAAUUCGAUGAUACGCGAGGAACCUUACCAGGGCUUAAAUGUAGAUUGACAGGACUGGAAACAGUUUUUUCUUCGGACAAUUUACAAGGUGCUGCAUGGUUGUCGUCAGCUCGUGCCGUGAGGUGUCAGGUUAAGUCCUAUAACGAGCGCAA
Molecule: ribosomal RNA, 324 nt
Filed under: uncultured bacterium
Lineage: Bacteria
Description: bacterial SSU rRNA
Rfam family: Bacterial small subunit ribosomal RNA
Source: RNAcentral